GCAUAUCAAUAAGCGGAGGAAAAGAAACCAACAGGGAUUGCCCCAGUAACGGCGAGUGAAGCGGCAACAGCUCAAAUUUGAAAUCUGGCUUCGGCCCGAGUUGUAAUUUGCAGAGGAAGCUUUAGGCGCGGCACCAUCUGAGUCCCCUGGAACGGGGCGCCAUAGAGGGUGAGAGCCCCGUAUAGAUGGACGCUAAGCCUGUGUAAAGCUCCUUCGACGAGUCGAGUAGUUUGGGAAUGCUGCUCAAAAUGGGAGGUAAAUUUCUUCUAAAGCUAAAUAUUGGCCAGAGACCGAUAGCGCACAAGUAGAGUGAUCGAAAGAUGAAAAGCACUUUGAAAAGAGGGUUAAAUAGCACGUGAAAUUGUUGAAAGGGAAGCGCUUGUGACCAGACUUGCGCCUGGCUGAUCAUCCGGUGUUCUCACCGGUGCACUCUGCCAGGCUCAGGCCAGCAUCGGUUCUCGCGGGGGGAUAAAGGCCCUGGGAACGUAGCUCCUCCGGGAGUGUUAUAGCCCAGGGUGCAAUGCCCUCGCGGGGACCGAGGUUCGCGCAUCUGCAAGGAUG
Molecule: ribosomal RNA, 561 nt
Filed under: Subramaniula cristata
Lineage: Eukaryota; Fungi; Ascomycota; Sordariomycetes; Sordariales; Chaetomiaceae
Also listed under: 1 other name
Description: eukaryotic LSU rRNA
Rfam family: Eukaryotic large subunit ribosomal RNA
Source: RNAcentral